This 429-nucleotide ribosomal RNA is filed under the name uncultured bacterium. RNAcentral describes it as "bacterial SSU rRNA". It matches the Rfam family "Bacterial small subunit ribosomal RNA", at positions 355 to 776 of the family's 1533-position model. The record is from RNAcentral.
UGGGGAAUAUUGCACAAUGGGCGCAAGCCUGAUGCAGCCAUGCCGCGUGUGUGAAGAAGGCCUUCGGGUUGUAAAGCACUUUCAGUCGUGAGGAAGGCAGUACAGUUAAUAGCUGUAUUGUUUGACGUUAGCGACAGAAGAAGCACCGGCUAACUCCGUGCCAGCAGCCGCGGUAAUACGGAGGGUGCGAGCGUUAAUCGGAAUUACUGGGCGUAAAGCGCAUGCAGGUGGUUUGUUAAGUCAGAUGUGAAAGCCCGGGGCUCAACCUCGGAAUAGCAUUUGAAACUGGCAGACUAGAGUACUGUAGAGGGGGGUAGAAUUUCAGGUGUAGCGGUGAAAUGCGUAGAGAUCUGAAGGAAUACCGGUGGCGAAGGCGGCCCCCUGGACAGAUACUGACACUCAGAUGCGAAAGCGUGGGGAGCAAACAGG